GUACUCCAGUAAAGAUCACUGGAAUAGAUUAUUGGAUUCAUUACACUCGAGUAAAGGCCUGGGAAACUGACAGAAUUACCUCUGUCGAUCCAGAAGAGCACCCAAAGCACCAGUGUGAAGAAAUCGGAGACCGUAAGCUAAAAAUCACAAAAUAUGCUGGUGCCCAAUGCGGAAGCCACUUUCAGCAUGCUGGGUCCAGCUGCAGGCUGAACACGAAGCCACGGCGGUAUGGGAUCCAGGCCAGUAGCCCAAGCCAAGCGCAACCUGCUGGACUGAGUGGGCAGAGCAAGCCCAGCAAGCCUGAAUUAAGCCCCAGGCAGAGGGCACAGAGGCCACGGAGACUUCAGGCUGGCAAAGCAGCAUCAAAGGAAUACUGGAACAUGGUUACCCUCCCUCCUGUUCACCGACCAAUGGGAGAAAAAACGUCGCUGGGCACUAUUCCCUCCCACUCACUGAACAACAAAAGCUGCAACAUAACCAUAUCAGUGGUGAUAUCUUUUUGCAUUGGCCCUUUUGUCGCUAUGAAUUUUCCGUCUUUAAUUCUAUAAAUGCUUUAUCUGCUAAAGUCUACUUUAUCUUAUAUUACUGUAGUUUUACCAGAAUUCUUUUGAAUAAGGUUUGCAUGGCGUCUCUUUGUCCUUGCUUUUAUUUUCAACCUUUAGGUAGCUUUAUAUUUAAAGCAUAUUCCAUGGAAAAAGCAUUUGCUAGACUGUUUUUAUUUUUAAUCUAGAGGGAAAACGUUAGUAUUUUAUUUGUAGUAUUUAUUUUAUGUAUACCUUAUAUAAUUAUUAAUAUAGAUGAUUUACACUUAUUAUCUUACUAUUUGAUUUUAUUUGGACCUUGUGAUUUAUGCCACCUUUCCCUUUCUUUUUUGCCUUCAUUUUAAUUAAUC
Long non-coding RNA from Homo sapiens (human), 892 nucleotides. The record is from Ensembl. NCBI's taxonomy places the organism in Eukaryota, Metazoa, Chordata, Mammalia, Primates, Hominidae.